RNAcentral lists this ribosomal RNA (439 nucleotides) under Sternaspis sendalli. RNAcentral's name for it is "partial 16S ribosomal RNA". It matches the Rfam family "Bacterial large subunit ribosomal RNA", at positions 1953 to 2607 of the family's 2925-position model. Lineage: Eukaryota; Metazoa; Annelida; Polychaeta; Terebellida; Sternaspidae. The record is from RNAcentral.
AAGGUAGCAUAAUCAUUUGCCUCUUAAUUAGUGGCUAGUAUGAAUGGACAAACGAGAAUUCCCCUGUCUCUAUAAAGCCAAUGAAAAUUAAUCUUCAGGUGAAGAAGCCUGAAUCUCAUUAAAAGACAAAAAGACCCUAUUGAGCUUACAUUCAAUCUCUAAAAUAUUAAAAUAAAAUAAAACUACCCUUUUUACAAGAAUUUUGCUGGGGCGGCAAAGGAACAACCAAAAAUUCCUUUUCUCAAAGACUUAUAAGUCUAUUAACUGAUCCGUAUUAACGAUUAACAAAACUAGUUACCAUAGGGAUAACAGGCUAAUUUUUCUCUAAAGCUCACAUUAACAGAAAAGAUUGGCACCUCGAUGUUGGCUUAGGAUAUCCUAAGGGCGCAGAAGCCUUUUAAGGUGGGUUUGUUCAACCUUUAAAAUCCUACGUGAUCUG